Molecule: non-coding RNA, 387 nt
Organism: Pelobates cultripes (western spadefoot toad)
Lineage: Eukaryota; Metazoa; Chordata; Amphibia; Anura; Pelobatidae
Source: the annotation of a GenBank genome assembly
CUCAAAAAACAACAAAUUUCAGUCAACACUCCUGUGACUCAUCUGCAACAAAAAUUAAAUAUAUAUUUUCGGAGCUUUAUAAAACCCAUUGCAUCCAAUGCAAACACAGCUAUUGAAGUUGCUCAGGUAAUGCACAGGUAAUGCAGAUGUUUGACUACCAUAUUAUUUGUUUAAAUUCAUCUAGCAGUGAUAAUAAGCUGUGAGCACGGGGCUUAGCCAUCCCCAGGACUAUUGUCAAACUUUGGACAGCUUGGAAUGUAGAAUGCGGAAAUCGAACCUCUGUGGCAUGUGAGCAUCUGGACUUCAGGUGCUAAUAGAGUGUAAACUUCUGUAAAAAUAAAUACCGGUAAAUUAAUUAGAAUGAUUGAAAAGGAAACGAGGGAAGGG